Molecule: long non-coding RNA, 273 nt
Organism: Equus quagga
Lineage: Eukaryota; Metazoa; Chordata; Mammalia; Perissodactyla; Equidae
Exons: 3
Source: RefSeq, a predicted model, not a curated record
CGAGGCUCCGCCAGCCGCGGGUCCGCGCCUUCCCAAGAACACUGAUUCCACCUCCACAUCGCCUCAUGGGCAUGUCAUGGCUGUGCAGUUUCAGCAGUCUCAUCUGAAGGGGGGAAGAAGAGAGGAGGGCCCCGCAAAGAGCCAGGGCAGGAAAUUUGGACACGUGGAGAGACACGAGACAUGCACUCGCACAGAAGAGGGGCCAUGUGAGGACACAGCAAGAAAGGGGUCACCUGCAAACCAAGGAGAGAGGCCUCCAAAAGAACUAAGCCU